Molecule: non-coding RNA, 1077 nt
Filed under: Lonsdalea quercina
Lineage: Bacteria; Pseudomonadati; Pseudomonadota; Gammaproteobacteria; Enterobacterales; Pectobacteriaceae
Description: Bacterial large subunit ribosomal RNA
Rfam family: Bacterial large subunit ribosomal RNA
Source: Rfam by way of RNAcentral
UUAUACCCGACGAUACCCGAAUGGGGAAACCCAGUGCAAUCCGUUGCACUAUCGCAACAUGAAUACAUAGUGUUGCGAGGCGAACCGGGGGAACUGAAACAUCUCAGUACCCCGAGGAAAAGAAAUCAACCGAGAUUCCCCUAGUAGCGGCGAGCGAACGGGGAGGAGCCCAGAACCUGAAUCAGUUUGUGUCUUAGUGGAAGCGUCUGGAAAGUCGCACGACAGAGGGUGAUAGUCCCGUACACGAAGAGGCAUGGAUUGUGAGUUCGAUGAGUAGGGCGGGACACGUGUUAUCCUGUCUGAAUAUGGGGGGACCAUCCUCCAAGGCUAAAUACUCCUGACUGACCGAUAGUGAACCAGUACCGUGAGGGAAAGGCGAAAAGAACCCCGGCGAGGGGAGUGAAAUAGAACCUGAAACCGUGUACGUACAAGCAGUGGGAGCCUUGAUUAAUCAGGGUGACUGCGUACCUUUUGUAUAAUGGGUCAGCGACUUAUAUUCUGUAGCAAGGUUAACCGAAUAGGGGAGCCGCAGGGAAACCGAGUCUUAACUGGGCGUUAAGUUGCAGGGUAUAGACCCGAAACCCGGUGAUCUAGCCAUGGGCAGGUUGAAGGUUGGGUAACACUAACUGGAGGACCGAACCGACUAAUGUUGAAAAAUUAGCGGAUGACUUGUGGCUGGGGGUGAAAGGCCAAUCAAACCGGGAGAUAGCUGGUUCUCCCCGAAAGCUAUUUAGGUAGCGCCUCGUGAACUCAUCUUCGGGGGUAGAGCACUGUUUCGACUAGGGGGCCAUCCCGGCUUACCAACUCGAUGCAAACUGCGAAUACCGAAGAAUGUUAUCACGGGAGACACACGGCGGGUGCUAACGUCCGUCGUGAAGAGGGAAACAACCCAGACCGCCAGCUAAGGUCCCAAAGUCAUGGUUAAGUGGGAAACGAUGUGGGAAGGCCCAGACAGCCAGGAUGUUGGCUUAGAAGCAGCCAUCAUUUAAAGAAAGCGUAAUAGCUCACUGGUCGAGUCGGCCCGCGCGGAAGAUGUAACGGGGCUAAACCAUGCACCGAAGCUGCGGCAGCGACACU